This 1317-nucleotide long non-coding RNA is filed under the name Rhinopithecus bieti (black snub-nosed monkey). RNAcentral describes it as "lncRNA (ENSRBIG00000045307.1)". The record is from RNAcentral. Lineage: Eukaryota; Metazoa; Chordata; Mammalia; Primates; Cercopithecidae.
AGAAGUAUUACUUCACAGUUGCAUUGGCUUCCUGUGGCCGCCAAUAGAGGCAGCAUCUGGCAGAAAGCCCACCACAGAGAAGAGGGAACUCCACGGAGAAGAAAAUAGUAACGAGGCCCCAAAGGUGGAAGUACAGCCUGAGAAACUUUGCCCAGGCUGGGACUGGCUGCCCUGCCUGCUUGUCUUGCUGCUCUUGCAGGGCCUAAGGUGUGGUAUCCCCUCAGGCUUUAAAAUCCCGAUAUCUCUCCCAUGAUGGAAACACUGAAGCUCAGAGGUGAAAUAAUUGCCCCACGACCCAGAGAAGUCAAGGUUUGAAACCCCCACAUGGCCAGCCUUGAAGCCCGGACUACUGAGACCGCAGCAACUGAGUUCUCAAGUGAAUAGCAAGAAGAUGAGGGAAACAAUGGGGCUCUCCUGAAAGCCCCCGGAGGAAGCGUCUACGGAUAUCUUUUUGGCCAGACCUGGGUUGUAGACACUUCAGCUUCAAGGGGCUCUGGGGAGGUAUGUGAUCUUCCAUGGGCAGCCUGCUGCCCUAAGCCCAGCUGGAGCCCUGUUAGUGAAGAACAAGGAGAGACUGGAGACCGGAGGCCAACCAGGGCAUCUGCCACUCUACUGCCACAAAUAAGUAGAUCAGCUGGGUUCCAAGGCUCUGGCGCAGUCUCAGAAGCGCAGAUGAAAGUAAUCCAGGUUGGCCAAGAGGGCUUCAUGGGAUGCCUCUGUAGCUCAUAGACCCGUGGUUCCUGUGUGUCUGCCGUGGGAAGCUCAGUAGGUAGAAAAAGAGGCUCUUUCUCAAGGCUGGCAGAGCCCCGGGUUGGGGCCACCCCUUGGCAAAUGGGGCGCAAGCAGGAUUUCAGCUUCAGCCAGCUCCUCAACCAGAUGUCUUUGUGCAGUGCACAAAUUGCACAACUGAACACAGAAGACCUUUGUAGCUAUCAGAGUAAAUUCGAAUUACAUAUCUGGUCCCUUCCUUUGUCCAAUCAGAGAUGAAAGCAGUACUGCUCCAGGAUAGUCAGGAAACAGAGGGCAAGGAAAAAAGUAGAGGGGAGUGUCAGAGCAGAAACCUCUAAAUAGUGGAGUUGACUGUUUUGAACCCUCAGCGUCAGCUGCUCCAUCUUACUUGGCUCAUUGUAAACCCACAGUCUCAGUUGGAAAGCCAAGAGGAUAUUUAUAUAGGGUGGAUCCAACCACAAACUAUCUGAAUUACUGUUGGAGAACCUGACUCUACUGUGCUCCAUAAGACUAGAGACAAUAUUUAUUUCAUUCACUGUUGUCUCCCCAGGUCUUCACAUGGUGCUUGAUAAAUAAGUGUUCAAUAAA